Molecule: long non-coding RNA, 576 nt
Filed under: Lathyrus oleraceus (garden pea)
Lineage: Eukaryota; Viridiplantae; Streptophyta; Magnoliopsida; Fabales; Fabaceae
Description: Pisum sativum (pea) long non-coding RNA (PSAT_LNC040708)
Source: RNAcentral
AUCAAAUUCAGCUGGUCAUAACGACUCUGAAUCCAUUCAGCAUCAGUCAACUAGGGACUUGAGGGUAUCAGGCUUCUUUUAUUCUUUUUUCUAUUUGAAAUUUUUUUCCUGAUUUUUGCUUUUACUUUGAUUUUUUUUUCUCUUCUCUUUCCUUUUUUUUUCUUUUUUUUUACAUUACAUUUGUAAUGCCCCAGUUUGACUGUUGCUGGGUUCUUGAGACGCAGCUGAAUGACUUGCUUUUCAUUGCUCAAGUGCUCGGGUAAUCUCAUCAGGAAUCCCCUUCAACAUCAUCUUCCUCUGCCUCAAAUACAAGGAAUUCAAAUUUGGGAGAUGGCGUUGGAUCAUUAUGUUCAAUGGGUUUAGAAAUCCCUGCAUAAUGAUUCUGGAUAAUGAAAAGCUUUUGAAUUUAAACAAGCAAAUCAUUUAUGCAGAUGAAAAAGCUGUUUUCUUGUUUUUCAGGUUUUUUGUGAUCACUGAUUUCAUGCAAAAGCAAAAAGUGAAAACAAAUGGAAAAACAAAUGUUUAACAAUGCAUUAAUUGGAUGAAAACAUCAUUGUAUUAAAUGUUGCCAACAAU